UAAAAUCGAUCGGGGAGUUUGUGUAACAGACUGAGAGGAUGGUAAACCAUUGACCCGAACACCUGAACCGGAUAAUGCCGGCGGAGGAAAUCGUAUCACUUUUGUA
This 106-nucleotide non-coding RNA is filed under the name Fructobacillus sp. RNAcentral describes it as "TPP sequence". It matches the Rfam family "TPP riboswitch aptamer (THI element)". From Rfam's summary of the family: Vitamin B(1) in its active form thiamin pyrophosphate (TPP) is an essential coenzyme that is synthesised by coupling of pyrimidine and thiazole moieties in bacteria. The previously detected thiamin-regulatory element, thi box was extended, resulting in a new, highly conserved RNA secondary structure, the THI element, which is widely distributed in eubacteria and also occurs in some archaea. Lineage: Bacteria; Bacillati; Bacillota; Bacilli; Lactobacillales; Lactobacillaceae. The record is from RNAcentral.